GUCCCUGUGGCCGUUGCCAUGGCACCUGGUGACACCAACGAGUGUCACUGCAAUUGUCCCUGGAACAGCCCUUGCACUGCUUUGUCCUAAGGGUUGCCGUGGCAGCUGAAGACAGCAACAGCUCUGCAGCAGGAAACCUUUCUGAAGAACUACCCAAGAGCAGAGGGAAAUCAAGGCAGAGCCAUGGUUUGUCAGGACUUCCUGGAUCCUAAUGAGCCCUGUGGUGCAUUUGGAGCUCUUGAACGUCAGGGCCUGAGAGGAGAUUGCACAAACCUUUCCAGGAGUCAAAGUCAGAGGAAACACCCAAAGUGUCUCAAGGCAUGAAUGGGUCCCACUGAGGUCCCUCUCCAACACAGGCUCCUCAUGGACUCCUUGGAGGAGAGAAUCGCAGACCAGGAUGGCACAAAAACUUCUCAAAGACUCGGUGUGAAAAGGAAAAUCCAAAGUACCUUAAACAACGUUGAGUAACUCGAAGUAUUAAUGA
Molecule: long non-coding RNA, 484 nt
Organism: Passer domesticus (house sparrow)
Lineage: Eukaryota; Metazoa; Chordata; Aves; Passeriformes; Passeridae
Exons: 2
Source: RefSeq, a predicted model, not a curated record